AUGGAGGUGUGUAUUAACAAGGCGGAAUAUGAAUCAAGGAUUGGGAAGGCUUGGGCCAAAUGGUUUCACGCUAAUGACAUCCCUGGGCACAAAGCCAAUUGUCCAUAUUUUGUAGGAGCCGUGAAAUUGACUCAAGACCUUGGCAAAGGGGUGCCUGCCCCUAAAGGGAUAGAUAUUGAUGGAAUUUAUUUGAAUUCCAACUAUGAAGAAUUGCAGCAGUAUGUGGCCAAGUUCAAAGACGAUUGGCCCACCUAUGGUGUUACUAUCAUGUCAGAUUCGUGGACCGGCCCUUCUCGGAUGAGCAUUAUAAAUUUUAUGGUGUUCUCCAACGGGCGUAUGUAUUUCCACAAAUCUGUUAAUGCCACUGGACACAUGCAAAAUCCUAAGUUUGUUUAUGAGCACAUUAAAGAAGUGAUCGAAGAGAUAGGGCAGGAACAUGUUGUCCAGCUUGUGACCGACAAUGGCUCUAACUUCAAGAAAGCAUGUCUUGAUCUUGUUGUCGAUUUCCCACACAUCACAUGGCAGCCAUGUGCGGCUCACACAAUUAACCUCAUGUUAAAGGAGAUGGGAUGUUUUCCUGAGAUUAAUACAGUGGUCAACAGUUGUAAGAGAAUCUGUAGAUUCAUGUACAAUCAUUCAACUUUGCCUUCAAUCCGGUUGUCAUAG
RNAcentral lists this ribosomal RNA (666 nucleotides) under Triticum aestivum (bread wheat). Its description in RNAcentral is "partial small subunit ribosomal RNA". Lineage: Eukaryota; Viridiplantae; Streptophyta; Magnoliopsida; Poales; Poaceae. The record is from RNAcentral.